This 137-nucleotide ribosomal RNA is filed under the name uncultured bacterium. RNAcentral describes it as "partial 16S ribosomal RNA". It matches the Rfam family "Bacterial small subunit ribosomal RNA", at positions 355 to 509 of the family's 1533-position model. The record is from RNAcentral.
UGGGGAAUAUUGCACAAUGGGGGAAACCCUGAUGCAGCGACGCCGCGUGAAGGAAGAAGUAUCUCGGUAUAUAAACUUCUAUCAGCAGGGAAGAUAGUGACGGUACCUGACUAAGAAGCCCCGGCUAACUACGUGCC